Ornithodoros turicata is the source of this 443-nucleotide long non-coding RNA. RefSeq lists it as uncharacterized. NCBI's taxonomy places the organism in Eukaryota, Metazoa, Arthropoda, Arachnida, Ixodida, Argasidae. The record is from RefSeq and is a predicted model, not a curated record. The transcript is spliced from 3 exons.
CGCGAACGAGCUAACGUGGCUGUACGGGAAUACACCUUUACGAAGCAAAAUUUCGUAGUCGUCUCCAAAUACCUGCUUCAGGCAUUGGAACGCCUCUGCGCCCCCCAUGGAUUUGACGGUUUCCACGAGCUCUCCCAGCGACGAAUUUAGCAUUUUAUAUGCACCUCCGCCGUCGGCAUCGUCGCGCUGAAAAUGAACGAAGGCCAAGCACCAUUCCAAACCGUGUCGUGCUGUUCACUGACCUGUUGCAGACAAGAGCCAUUUACGAUCUACUCCUGUUUUCUCUACCCCUUUUCGUAUCUGCACUUCAGCAUAGGGUCACCUUCAGCCUGAAGAAACAAACGUAAAAGAUACGAAAAGAAGGAAGUUAGGAAAAGAUAGCAAUAGGAGGAAGAUACAGCUCGUUUUAUAACCCAGGAUUAGUGUUUUGCUCUGGCUUCUGA